GGUAGUUCAGUUGGUUAGAACGCCGGCCUGUCACGCCGGAGGUCGAGGGUUCAAGUCCCUUCCGCG
RNAcentral lists this transfer RNA (66 nucleotides) under human gut metagenome. It matches the Rfam family "tRNA", at positions 6 to 65 of the family's 71-position model. From Rfam's summary of the family: Transfer RNA (tRNA) molecules are approximately 80 nucleotides in length. Their secondary structure includes four short double-helical elements and three loops (D, anti-codon, and T loops). Further hydrogen bonds mediate the characteristic L-shaped molecular structure. tRNAs have two regions of fundamental functional importance: the anti-codon, which is responsible for specific mRNA codon recognition, and the 3' end, to which the tRNAs corresponding amino acid is attached (by aminoacyl-tRNA synthetases). tRNAs cope with the degeneracy of the genetic code in two manners: having more than one tRNA (with a specific anti-codon) for a particular amino acid; and 'wobble' base-pairing, i.e. permitting non-standard base-pairing at the 3rd anti-codon position. The record is from RNAcentral.